UAAAGGUCGAAGAACACCGCCUCGAAGAACCGUCUCAACCGCUGCCUGACACACGUGCCAGUUUCCAGUCCAUAAUAGCCCCACCGCACCGUUCACAGGGUUAACCGUUCUUCCACACGCUUCAAAUAAUAGAGACUGAAACAGAGCUGAAAACAGAACACUCAAUUAAUACACUAAAAUUAAAAAGCAUAAGCAUUAUUAAUUAAUUUUUGUUGUUAAUUAUAAUUAUAAUUCAAUUAAAUUUGUUAAUUAUUUAAAUUAAUUUAAUUACCUGGUCUUUGUGGUUCAGGGACGUUGGAAAUGAAAGACAUGAGACCAGCGCGACCGAAGAAUUUAGCUACGAAAACAGUAGCGUGGCCUUGAGCUUCUGGUGUUUCGAUCCAUUGUAA
Molecule: long non-coding RNA, 389 nt
Filed under: Trifolium pratense (red clover)
Lineage: Eukaryota; Viridiplantae; Streptophyta; Magnoliopsida; Fabales; Fabaceae
Description: long non-coding RNA (TPRA_LNC002269)
Source: RNAcentral